RNAcentral lists this ribosomal RNA (458 nucleotides) under uncultured bacterium. RNAcentral's name for it is "partial 16S ribosomal RNA". It matches the Rfam family "Bacterial small subunit ribosomal RNA", at positions 338 to 795 of the family's 1533-position model. The record is from RNAcentral.
CCUACGGGAGGCAACAGUGAGGAAUAUUGGUCAAUGGGCGAGAGCCUGAACCAGCCAAGUCGCGUGAGGGAGUACUGCCCUAUGGGUUGUAAACCUCUUUUGUCGGGGAGCAAAAGCAGGACGUGUCCGGCUGUGAGAGUACCCGAAGAAAAAGCAUCGGCUAACUCCGUGCCAGCAGCCGCGGUAAUACGGAGGAUGCGAGCGUUAUCCGGAUUUAUUGGGGUUAAAGGGUGCGCAGGCGGAUUUUUAAGUCAGCGGUCAAAUCGUGGGGCUCAACCCCAUCCAGCCGUUGAAACUGGGGAUCUAGAGUGUGCGAGAGGUAUGCGGAAUGCGUGGUGUAGCGGUGAAAUGCAUAGAUAUCACGCAGAACCCCGAUUGCGAAGGCAGCAUACCGGUGCACAACUGACGCUCAGGCACGAAAGCGUGGGUAUCGAACAGGAUUAGAUACCCCUGUAGUC